Molecule: ribosomal RNA, 494 nt
Filed under: uncultured bacterium
Lineage: Bacteria
Description: partial 16S ribosomal RNA
Rfam family: Bacterial small subunit ribosomal RNA
Source: RNAcentral
GACGAACGCUGGCGGCGUGCUUAACACAUGCAAGUCGAACGGAGAAGCGCCUUCCUUUUUGGUGGGUGUGGAUGAGUGGCGAACGGGUGAAUAACACGUGAGUAACCUGCUCCCUCCUGCUGGAUAACCGCAAGCAAGUGUUGCUACUACGGGAUAUUCUGAGUCUGUUGCAUGAUGGGUCUGGGAAAGAUAUGGUUUCGGUGGGGGAUGGGCUCGCGGCCUAUCAGCUUGUUGGUGGGGUGACGGCCUACCAAGGCAGCGACGGGUAGCCGGCCUGAGAGGGUGGCCGGCCACACUGGGACGGGGACCCGGCCAAGACUCCGAGGGGAGGAAGAGGGGGGGAAUAUUGCACAAUGGGCGAAAGCCGGCUGCAGCGACGCCGCGGGAGGGAUGGAGGCCUUCGGGUUGUGAACCUCUUUCGCCAGUGAAGCAGGCCUGCCUCGUGUGUGGGUGGGUUGACGGUAGCUGGAUAAGAAGCGCCGGCUAACUACGUG